GCUUGUCUCAAAGGUUAAGCCAUGCAAGUCUAAGUGCGAGCUCUCGUACGGCGAAACUGCGAACGGCUCAUUAAAUCAGUUACGGUUCAUUUGAUCGUAGACGCACGUCGCACGUGGAUAACUGUGGCAAUUCUAGAGCUAAUACAUGCUAAAGGUGCCGACGCCGACCCUUUCGCGAGGGCCGGCGAAGGCGCGCAUUUAUCAGACCUCGCCGGCCCGGCUCGCGAGAGCCGGUCCCCGUGGUGACUCUGGAUAACUGAGCGGAUCGCGCGCUUCCUCGACGAAGGCGACGGAUCAUUCGAGUGUCUGCCCUAUCAACUCGAGUCGGUACGGUCUCGGCCUACCGCGGUGGUGACGGGUGACGGGGAAUCAGGGUUCGGUUCCGGAGAGGGAGCCUGAGAAACGGCUACCACUUCCAAGGAAGGCAGCAGGCGCGCAAAUUACCCAUUCCCGACGCGGGGAGGUAGUGACGAAAAAUAACGAUGCGGGACUCUGAACGAGCGCCCGCAAUCGGAAUGAGCACAUCGCAAAGCAGUGCGGACGCGCGGCGCCGUCUCGCGGCGGCGCUCGCGCGCGCGAGUAUCGAUUGGAGGGCAAGUCUGGUGCCAGCAGCCGCGGUAAUUCCAGCUCCAAAAGUGUACGCUUAAGUUGUUGCGGUUAAAAAGCUCGUAGUUGGAAUUGGCGCCGGCGUCGCCCGGCCGUCCGCCCUCGCGGGCGCGCACGGCCGGCCGCCGCGCUUUCGGCCGCCGGGCCGCGCUUUCCUUGACCGGACGGCGCGCGCGUCCGGCGCCGGUUUUACUUUGAAAAAAUUAGAGUGUUCAAAGCAGGCCCGCACGAGGCCCGGAUAACGACGCACGGAAUAGCGGAAGAGGGCCCCUCCCUCGACCGCCGGCAACCCAGACGAGACGAGAGGCAAUGAUCGAGAGGGACGGACGGGGGCAUUCGUACCGCGCCGUUAGAGGUGAAAUUCUUGGAUCGGCGCGAGACGGACCGAGGCGAAGGCGUCUGCCGAGGACGUUUUCCUUAAUCAAGAGCGAAAGUCGGAGGUUCGAAGACGAUCAGAUACCGUCCUAGUUCCGACCGUAAACGAUGCCGGCCCCGGGCCGCCGCCUGCCUGCAGCUUCGAGUCGAGGCGGCGGCGGACCGGUCGAGGGAAACCAGAGCGUCUGGGUUCCGGGGGAAGUAUGGUCGCAAAGCUGAAACUUAAAGGAAUUGACGGAAGGGCACCACCAGGAGUGGAGCCUGCGGCUUAAUUUGACUCAACACGGGGAAACUCACCCGGCCCGGACACGGCGAGGAUUGACAGAUCGAGAGCUCUUUCUCGAUUCCGUGGGUGGUGGUGCAUGGCCGUUCUUAGUUGGUGGAUCGAUUUGUCUGGUUAAUUCCGAUAACGAACGAGACUCUGACCUGCUAAAUACCCGGCCGCUCUCUGACCGGUCGCCGUCGCGCGGGCUCGCUCGCCGGCCGGCGGCCUCGACGGAGCGAACCGCCGGCGUUCUUAGAGGGACAGGCGGCGUUCAGCCGCACGAGAUUGAGCAAUAACAGGUCUGUGAUGCCCUUAGAUGUUCGGGGCCGCACGCGCGCUACACUGGUCGGAUCAGCCGGAGCCUCUUCGCUCGAGAUCCCGGCUCGAAAGGCCCGGGAAAUCCGGCAACCCCGACCGUGCUCGGGAUAGGGAAUUGCAAUUGUUUCCCUCGAACGAGGAAUUCCCAGUAGGCGCGAGUCAUCAGCUCGCGUCGAUUACGUCCCUGCCCUUUGUACACACCGCCCGUCGCUACUACCGAUCGAGCGUUUUAGUGAGGUCCUCGCAUCGGCCUGCCGCCGCCGUUCGCGCGGAGGCGGCUCGUCGAGAAGACGAUCGAACUUGAUCGCUUAGAGGAAGUAAAAGUCGUAACAAGGUUU
RNAcentral lists this ribosomal RNA (1902 nucleotides) under Aplidium pliciferum. RNAcentral describes it as "SSU rRNA". It matches the Rfam family "Eukaryotic small subunit ribosomal RNA". Lineage: Eukaryota; Metazoa; Chordata; Ascidiacea; Aplousobranchia; Polyclinidae. The record is from RNAcentral.